RNAcentral lists this long non-coding RNA (274 nucleotides) under Elaeis guineensis (African oil palm). Its description in RNAcentral is "long non-coding RNA (EGUI_LNC032171)". Lineage: Eukaryota; Viridiplantae; Streptophyta; Magnoliopsida; Arecales; Arecaceae. The record is from RNAcentral.
AGUCCAUACUCAUCGGAGGUUCUUCGAUGGGGGAUCUUCCAAUGCUUAAGUCAGUCGGAGCUUGAGAAUAGUAGAAGAGGAAAAGUAUGAGUUUAGUGUCACGUACCUUAAGGAUCCCCUCACUACCUCUUUAUAUAAAGAUGGGUUGCAGGCUGUUACAUAGGCUGGUGGGUCAGAUCAUGAUUUAUUAGACUUUAAGAUAGGAAAUCUGCAAAUCCGAGAUUGUUAAUCAUAGAUAGUGACCACGUUCUAACAAAGAUUCUUAGUGGUGGCC